UGGAAAGUUGAGCCGCCCAGCAAAGUGAGCAGAGGGAAACUUUGGGCACUUGCACGAGCGCGUCUGGCUCUCCCUCUGCCCCAGGAGCUGCCCAGGGCGGCGGCGGCCGAGGUGGCACCGCUCCCGGUCCGAGGGUCCACUGGUCGCACGGCCUCUGCCCUCGCCCCCCCAGCCCCGGCCCGCGCCACCCCCGCCCGGUGCCCCCGCGCCGCCUGGUCUUCGACCCACGCCUGCCUUGAACCACGCGAUUUCAAACCCCUCCAGGUACCUGGCACAGGAGCGUGGCCCGGGCUGGGCGAGACGCGCAGAGAAGGGCACCUUCCGUCGGGUAAGGCGAGCCGGGGCUGCUCCCGCCGGGGUGCGCGCCUGGCCCUCGCCCGAAGCUGCGGCGAAGCAGCAGGUGGCCGCGCCGCCUCCAGAAAACCCAGGUCUGCGGCCUGGAGUGCGGGACACAGCCGCGGACAGGACCCUCCCGCGGCCGGCCCGGCCCUGCGCCCGGCGCGCUCCCAGCUCCCAGCUCCAAGCUCCCAGCUUCCAGCUGCGGGCGCGCCGGCUCCGCUCGGCUUGGCGGGGGCGGACGCCGCUCCGCUCCCUCGCCGGCCGCCGCGCGCACCUCCCCCGCGGCGCGCCGCUCCCAACGCCGCCUCCACCUCCCGCCGGGCAGCGGAGGGCCGAGACCUCUGGGCGGGGGAGAGGAGGGUGCAGGCGCCGCCCGGGCCUCCGCGGUCCUGCGGGAGGGCGAUCGGGGUACGAGGAGGGCGAUCGGGGUACGAGGAGGGCGAUCGGGGUGCAGGGAGGGCGAUUGGGGUGCGGGUAGGGCUAUCGGGGUGCGCGCCCCCUCCACAGCCAGCGCCGCUCCCCGACCUGCAUCCGCCUGUCAGUGCGGCGGCGCUGUCGCGGCUCCAGACGAGCCGGGGGGCACCGGAGACCCCGAGCGGUCCGCGAGUCAGUCCGGGACCGGCCCAGGGCACCCGCGCGCGUCGGCGGAGAGGCACCCGGGAUUCGAGUCACCCCGAGACCAGCCCUAGAAGUCGGAGGCCUGCGGCAGGCGUGGGCACCGGGGGAAGGAAGUGUGCCUUUGAAUAA
RNAcentral lists this long non-coding RNA (1086 nucleotides) under Callithrix jacchus (white-tufted-ear marmoset). RNAcentral's name for it is "lncRNA (ENSCJAG00000078735.1)". Lineage: Eukaryota; Metazoa; Chordata; Mammalia; Primates; Cebidae. The record is from RNAcentral.